This 1395-nucleotide ribosomal RNA is filed under the name Triticum aestivum (bread wheat). RNAcentral describes it as "partial small subunit ribosomal RNA". Lineage: Eukaryota; Viridiplantae; Streptophyta; Magnoliopsida; Poales; Poaceae. The record is from RNAcentral.
AUGAAACCACGAAGCAAAAAAAGCGCGGCUUUGAUGGAUCCAGCGACGACGAUGGCCCGGCCGCGCCAGAAGUCGCGGCAGUCCGGCUCUGGCCUGGCUCGUCCGCGCAAGAAGUCGCGGCAGUCCGGCUCUGCUCGUGUUGGGCAACCGAAACAGAGGGAUGCACUCAAGGAGCAGAUGUUACCUGCUAGAGGAUAUGAGUUGCCGGUGACCAAAAACCCGUCGGUGCAGUUCGAUGUAGUAGGGCCGACGGGGCAUCCUGGCUCCAGCAGCCUGGCAGCGCUCGCCGUCGGGCUCGCGAGGCGCCUUGCCGAUGGGAGCGCGGACGACAACCUAGUCUUCUCGCCGCUGUCCAUCUACACCGCUCUGGCGCUCCUGGCCGCGGGCGCCCGGGAUGCCACACUGGACGAGAUCCUCGGCGUGCUCGGCGCACGGUCGCGCAGCGAGCUCGAGAACUUCGUGUCACACAUGGCGGCGGACGCACUCCAAGACAGGUCCGCCUCGGGCGGCCCCUGCAUAGCAUUCGCGUGUGGCAUCUGGAGCGACCUGACGCGGCGUCUGAAGCCGGCCUUCCGUGAGGCCGUCGUGGGCACGUACAAGGCCGAGGCCAGCACCGUCGACUUCCGCGGCGCUCCGGAGGCGGCACGGAAGCAGAUCAACGCGUGGGCGGCUCAGGUGACGAGGAACCUCAUCGACUCGGUCCUCCCGGCGGGGUCGAUAAGCCGGGCGACCCAGGUCGUGCUCGGCAACGCCAUGUACUUCAAGGGCAAGUGGCAGGACCAGCCGUUCGACAAGAGGUACACCGCACACAAGCCCUUCCACCGGCUCGACCACAGCCAGGUCGACGUGCCCUUCAUGCAGAGCUGGAAGUCACAGUUCGUCGCCGUGCACGACGGGUUCAAGUUCUCGAUGUGCAUCUUCCUCCCGGACGCCCACGAUGGCCUGCUGGGGCUUCUGGACACGAUAGCGUCCCGGCAUGGGUUCCUGCAGGACCACCUGCCGCGGCAGCGGAUCGCCCUCGGCGAGUUUCGGGUGCCAAAGUUCAAGCUGUCCUUCCACAGCAGCGUCGUCGCCAUCCUCAAGAAGCUGGGGCUCGCGCUGCCAUUCUGCCUGGAAGGCGACCUAUCUGACAUGGUGGAGGACGACGGCUCUGGCUUGCCGAUUGUAGUGGAGGAUGUCAUCCACAAGGCCGUCGUCGAGGUAAAUGAGGAAGGUACUGAAGCCGCCGCCGCUACUAUGGUCAGGAAGGGUAUUGGAUGCGCACCAAGGGGGAGGAGGCCGCCGCCUCCAGAAGUGGAUUUCAUUGCCGAUCAUCCGUUUGCUUACUACAUGGUGGAGGAGGCGACCGGCGCAGUUGUCUUUGCGGGGCAUGUCCUCGACCCCUCCAAGGAGUAA